Molecule: ribosomal RNA, 492 nt
Filed under: uncultured bacterium
Lineage: Bacteria
Description: partial 16S ribosomal RNA
Rfam family: Bacterial small subunit ribosomal RNA
Source: RNAcentral
GAUGAACGCUAGCUACAGGCUUAACACAUGCAAGUCGAGGGGAAACGACAUCGAAAGCUUGCUUUUGAUGGGCGUCGACCGGCGCACGGGUGAGUAACGCGUAUCCAACCUGCCCACCACUUGGGGAUAACCUUGCGAAAGUAAGACUAAUACCCAAUGACGUCUCUAGAAGACAUCUGAAAGAGAUUAAAGAUUUAUCGGUGAUGGAUGGGGAUGCGUCUGAUUAGCUUGUUGGCGGGGUAACGGCCCACCAAGGCGACGAUCAGUAGGGGUUCUGAGAGGAAGGUCCCCCACAUUGGAACUGAGACACGGUCCAAACUCCUACGGGAGGCAGCAGUGAGGAAUAUUGGUCAAUAGACGAGAGUCUGAACCAGCCAAGUAGCGUGCAGGAUGACGGCCCUAUGGGUUGUAAACUGCUUUUAUAAGGGAAUAAAGUGAGUCUCGUGAGACUUUUUGCAUGUACCUUAUGAAUAAGGACCGGCUAAUUCCGUG